UAUUAUCUUAUGCAACCUACCACUACAUAUGCAUGCAUCAAUAGUAAACAUUACUCUUAGACAUAGAGGCGUCCUAGUCGCUUCGGUAAACACAACCCACUUCGAUUCACUCUCCGAUUGCUUGUAGUCACUUGCAAUCGGCCUCCCGCGGCACCCGUAUUCGGCACAGCCAAAUCCUGCAGUUGCGCACCAACCGUGCGCCAAAUCGCGGCUCCGAAAAUUAUA
Molecule: long non-coding RNA, 225 nt
Filed under: Ananas comosus (pineapple)
Lineage: Eukaryota; Viridiplantae; Streptophyta; Magnoliopsida; Poales; Bromeliaceae
Description: long non-coding RNA (ACOM_LNC043719)
Source: RNAcentral